CUUCUGGAAUGAUGAAAAAAUAUGAUAAAUUUCUACACAAAAGUCAUGCCUUGAGAAAGAAUAGCUUAUGUGGCUGGGAAAACCUGAGGUUUUGAAAAAAACGCAGCCCAGCCUGCCAGCAAGGCUUCCACAGACUCGUCACGUGUACAUCAUUGGUGUUUUCCAGAGAGUCAGGCUCAGGUGGGGCUAGGGCAGUCCCAAGGCUGAGCUUUCUUCUUCAGAUGCGUGUGUGUGCGUGAAACACUCACUCAGGACAAAGAAACUGUAAUUAGACUGGCCAUAACGUAUUUCAAAUUAUAUUUGACAUUAUCAAAUGUGAAAGGAGGACUUUUCUGGUUAGGAACGGUGGAAUGGGCUCUUGGCGCCGUUCGCAGGCAGUGCGCAGCCCCCAUGCUGCAGAGGCGUCUAGAAGCAGCCCUGGAAGUCCUCGGAAGGCGCGUCGCGGGCUGUGGCGGCCGCUCCUGCCUGGCCGCUGGGUGCCCACGCUCGGAGCUGGGAGCGCUUUUCUGGCUGUCGCGGUGGUUUCCUGCCGUCUGUCCCCAGCUCUGGGCCUGGCUCCUGAUGGGGCCUCACCAGGCUCCCAGACCUGCUCUCCAGCCUGGGUCCCCUCCAGGCCCCCUGACCCAGGAGGGACACCAAGAGAGGCCGUGCCCCGUUCAUGUGUUCCUGAGAAAAACCUCCAGACCGGGUCAAAGCUUCCCUCGUGGCCUGAGUACCCAGCGACUCUUCUCUCCCCCCAACGCCUCAUUUGGAAGGAAACAUAAACUUGACGGCUCCACAGAACCGUUGUCUCAUCCGCUCUGCUCAGAGCCAACGCCCCCUCCCUGCGAAAAACAAAAACACAGAAACAAAGGAAGAGCAGCCAACAUCGCCGUCUCCCAAAGCCCUUGGACAGCUGCCGGGGGAAGAGAUGCGCUUCUAGACACAUCCAGGAGGCUGUCUUGUUUUCCUGUUAAUAUCGCACGGUGGUGACUGCAGUAACAAAAGCACUGGAAGGCUCCCGUCUCACCACCCGCCUCUGCAGCCCCGUCGUGCACGGGAUGCUCCCCACCCCCGAUGUAGCGUGGCGGGCCCGCGGCAGGGUCUGUUCUGGCCUCGAGACGUCAGACCCUUGGAGCAGAGGCCGUGGGCUGGCCCCUCCACGCAGCCCCCGCGCCCCGCACCCACCCUCGCCCACCCCGACUCAUCCUUACCCCCCCAGCUCAUCUGAUCCAAUAAGGUGAGCCCCCCGCGGAUCCCCCAGACCCCCACCGCCCCAGGGGGCGCCUCCAACACAGGCUCAGGCACCAGCCGCGAGGCCCAGAUGCAUCAACGCCUGCGCAGCCGCCCCAGCCAUAUAUUGAUUUUUGUUACAGCCGCGAGGCCCAUCCAAUUAAAAAGCAUCACCCACCUGUUCCAAGCCUUCCUUCUUGCCAAGUGUUUGCGGCUGGCAGAAAACAGUGCUGUUGGUUCAACGUGGCCUCAUUUCCUCUGCUGGUCAGAGUUUGGAAGCCCCUCCUGAUGCUGAAAAGUCUUGAGAUGGAUUCUCCAAGUCAGGCUGGAGAACCUUCAGGAGAAAGAUCAGUUAAAAGAUCCCACCUGUUGUUUGGAAACACGGAAAGCUAAUCCCUCAGGCAGCCCCAUCUCAGCCGCCUGGGGAGGGCUGCACAGAGAGGAGGGAAUAUCGGAAGAAUCUCUUGCUCAUUUCCCCAGCAGUUAGGAAGCAGAUGAAGCCAGAACUGGCUCUACACUUGGCAAAGCACCUGGACACAAUAAUAUGCUAAUAAAAUGAUUAAAUGUCUCCACAGCGAAGCCCCAGUGCAUUUAUUUACCUUUUACUGACCUCUGAUGAAUGUCUGCCAAAAUACUAGCACGACCCGGAAAGGCACAAGCGAAGUGUCUGCCACCAGGCAAGGUUUAACCUGACC
This is a long non-coding RNA of Bos taurus (domestic cattle), 1907 nucleotides long. The record is from Ensembl. Lineage: Eukaryota; Metazoa; Chordata; Mammalia; Artiodactyla; Bovidae.